AUUAGAUACAGAAACAUGCAUUAUUUAUUUUUAGGUCAGUUGACAUUCAAACUAUGAAGUGUUUCUGCAUAAAUAUGGAAAGGCUCUAGCAUUUGUAGUUUAUACCGGCUAAUGUAGAAUAAUAGAAUCCAAAGCACGCGUUUUAGCUUUCCUUGUCUGCUUCCCCAGUAAGCGUUAAGUUCAGAAAAUUGAAACCCGCAGGCGUUCCUUUGCAGCAAUUAGGUGAACUGUGGCAGGAAAACCUUGUUUCGAUCGUUUAUGCUCUCAGCAAUUUGUGUCCCAAGCCUUACAACGUCCUUACGCCCUAGGUCCUCCCCUCCACUGAUUCCCAGGUGCCAUAACAUGUUAAUCAUCAUUCAUCAUCACAACCGCCCAUAAGUUGCAAGUAUAUCUCUUAGCUUUUUUGCUUCUGCAUCCAGGCUGUCAAAGCUAGUUGAACUAGGUAUCCUCCAACUCCAG
This 459-nucleotide unclassified non-coding RNA is filed under the name Hevea brasiliensis (rubber tree). Lineage: Eukaryota; Viridiplantae; Streptophyta; Magnoliopsida; Malpighiales; Euphorbiaceae. The record is from RNAcentral.